UACGGGGGGGGCAAGCGUUGUUCGGAAUUACUGGGCGUAAAGGGCUCGUAGGCGGCCAACUAAGUCAGACGUGAAAUCCCUCGGCUUAACCGGGGAACUGCGUCUGAUACUGGAUGGCUUGAGAUUGGGAGAGGGAUGCGGAAUUCCUGGUGUAGCGGUGAAAUGCGCAGAUAUCAGGAAGAACACCCGUGGCGAAGGCGGCUCUCUGGACAGAGUCUGACGCUGAGGCGCGAAAGCUAGGGGAGCAAACAGG
RNAcentral lists this ribosomal RNA (253 nucleotides) under uncultured bacterium. RNAcentral describes it as "partial 16S ribosomal RNA". It matches the Rfam family "Bacterial small subunit ribosomal RNA", at positions 524 to 776 of the family's 1533-position model. The record is from RNAcentral.